RNAcentral lists this long non-coding RNA (403 nucleotides) under Drosophila guanche. The record is from RNAcentral. Lineage: Eukaryota; Metazoa; Arthropoda; Insecta; Diptera; Drosophilidae.
UACAAUAAACGUUCAUUUUUAUGCUAAUUAAAACAAAGCAUUGUUUUAUUUACAACUGCGCUCAUUCGUAUUUGCUCUUGAUGUCCUUCCACAGUUUCUGCAACAGGAAAAAGAGCAAUUCGUUUAGUUCUAGUUGGUCUUACAUAAGAGUCGAGUGCAACUUACGCCUUUGUUGAUGGACUCGUACAGGGCAGUAGCGGAGACAUCGAUGGCGCGCUCGAAGAAGAAUGUAGACGCGAUGAUGGCCACGGCGUAGGUGGACGUACGCUUGAACAAGGUAUUGUAGAUCACCUUCAUUUUUGCGAGACUUCCAAUUCGGAUUUUAUAAUUCCUGGCAAAAUAUUACGCUUGCACGCCAAAUACACAGCUGAUGAUGAUAAGUUGUGUUCGUUAACGUCAAACA